Molecule: long non-coding RNA, 612 nt
Filed under: Medicago truncatula (barrel medic)
Lineage: Eukaryota; Viridiplantae; Streptophyta; Magnoliopsida; Fabales; Fabaceae
Description: long non-coding RNA (MTRU_LNC006925)
Source: RNAcentral
UUAUUAAGGUGAAAGCAUUAACUAAUACACAAGAUAAGUUUCCUCCAAAUAAAAAAUUACACAAGAUAAGUAGGAUAAUUUAUGCAAACACAAUUAAAAUAGUACUAAGAUAUAGCUAGGUGUAGCUAUUUAUGUGAAAAGGCUUUUAGGAAUGAAACUUAUUUUCCAAGCAUGAUAAUCUUAAUGGAUUGGCUUUACAAUGGGAAUUACCUUUGGGAUAGGUUUGUAAAUUGGAAUAGGCUUGUAAAUUGGAAUUACCUUUGGAAUAGGCUUGUAAAUUGGAACAGGCUUGUAAAUUGGAAUUACCUUUGGAAUAGGCUUGUAAAUUGGAAUUACCUUUGGAAUAGGCUUGUAAAUGGGAAUUGGUUUGUGGAUUGGCUUAUAGAUUGGAACGUAUUUUGGUAUAGGUUUGUAAUAUGGAAUAUCUUUGUGAAUAGGUUUAUAAAAUGGAAUUGGUUUCUUGAAAAUUUGGUUUUUGGUGAAAAUAUCCUUUGAGUUUGUGUUUAAGAUAGAAAAAGUCCUUUGAAUUUUUCUUCUUCAUUAUGUCCUUCUAGGUUUGUCUUUGUUGCCUCUUCAUUUGCAAGCUUCCCAUCUGUGUUCACUUGGUUUCCU